GCCUUCGUGGUGUAGUGUUUAGCACACUCGGCGUGCAUUGGAGGGGUCCGUGGUUCGAGUCCCGGCGAGGGCA
Molecule: transfer RNA, 73 nt
Filed under: Stegodyphus mimosarum
Lineage: Eukaryota; Metazoa; Arthropoda; Arachnida; Araneae; Eresidae
Rfam family: tRNA
About the family: Transfer RNA (tRNA) molecules are approximately 80 nucleotides in length. Their secondary structure includes four short double-helical elements and three loops (D, anti-codon, and T loops). Further hydrogen bonds mediate the characteristic L-shaped molecular structure. tRNAs have two regions of fundamental functional importance: the anti-codon, which is responsible for specific mRNA codon recognition, and the 3' end, to which the tRNAs corresponding amino acid is attached (by aminoacyl-tRNA synthetases). tRNAs cope with the degeneracy of the genetic code in two manners: having more than one tRNA (with a specific anti-codon) for a particular amino acid; and 'wobble' base-pairing, i.e. permitting non-standard base-pairing at the 3rd anti-codon position.
Source: Rfam by way of RNAcentral